UGGAAGCUUGUUUAAACCAAGUUAAUGGUCUUUUAGGCUUCCUCCAGGUGAAUAGGAAUUCACUUUUUGAAUAAUAAGAAUUAUAUAUCACCACAGGGGGCAUCAGGAUUUUAGAGGUGAUUAGGUGGGGCAUGGCCAAAAAAAGGUUGGGAACCACUGAUUUAGAGAUUAGCAUUGAGAAUGAUGAACACUUGCUGUUGCACACAGAAGUCAGGUGGCUCUCAAAAGGAAAUUGCCUGAGACGCUUUUAAACAGAAUCAAGCUUAUAUCACUUGCAUAUGUCGUGAAAUUUGUUAUAAAGUGGCAGCAGUACAUUGGAAUACAUAAUGAAAACUAUAAAAUACAGUAAAUUAAAGUAGUGCAAAAAGAGAGAGAAAAAAGUGAGUUAGGUUCAUGGGUUCAAUGUCCAUUCAGAAAUCUGAUUUGGCAAAGUGAAGAAGCUAUUCCUAAAUUAUUGAUUGUGUGCCAUCAGGCUCCUGUAUCUCCUCCCUUUUGGACUCAGACUGAACUACAGAGGACAGGGAGGAGGUCUGGCCCCUGCACACAUAGCACAUAGGCCCACAAGCAUGUGGACAUGCCCCAGUGCUCGUGACCCAAAUCCCCAGCUGAAGGUAAAUAGCCCCACUGCCUUGCAGGCAGCCUGAGGAGAGAUGACGGCUACGGGAGUAAACCAAACAGAAAAUCCAGAGUGGAACCUCUAAGGUGGCUGGACGCCAUUAAACAGCCUUCCAGCAGCACCUGCAGCCAAGCUGGUGCCAAAUGCAAUGCUUUGCUUUCCUUUAGACUACAGAGUGAGGGACCUUGAUGACUCAGCAUCCCAGGAUCUUCAGAGUUGUGUCCUGGAGAUUUUACUCCAGUGCUGCUACUCCAUUGUCCUUUGAGAUAGACAGAUGCCAUCAUCAUCACCUCCUUCCUGAUGGUAGCAAUGACAAGAGGGCAAGUUGUGGGCGAUGGGGGUCCUUAAUGAUAGAUGUCACCUCUUGAAGAUGUCCUGGAUGCUGGGGAGGCUAGAGCCAGUAAUGGAGCUGACUGACUUUACCACUACCUACAGCACACUUUGAUCCAGUGCAGUAGCCCACCCCCAAUACCAGACAGUGAUGCAGCCAGUUACAAUACUGUCCAUGGUACAUCUAUAGAAAUUUGCAAAUGUCUUUUGUGACACACCAAGUCUCCUCAAAUUCCCAAUGAAACAUAGCAGCUGUCAUGUCUUCUUUGUAACUGCAUCAAUAUGUUGGCCCCAAGAUAGAUCCAGGAACUUGAAAUAGUUCAUCCUUCCCAUUUCUGAUCCCUCAAUGAGGAAUGGUCGGUGUCCCCUCUGGUCCACAGUGAACUCUUUGGUCUUAUUGACGUUGAGUGGAAAGCUGUUGCUGCAACGCCACUCUUGCUGAUCUAUCUCACUCCCGUACUCUUUCUCGUCACCAUCAGAAAUUCUACCAACGAUAGUUGUGUUGUCUGCAAAUUCAUAAAUGGCAUUUGAGCUGUAUCUAGCCACAUAGUCACGGGUGUAGAGAGAGUAGGGCAGUGGACUAAGCACAUAUUCUUGAGGUGCACCAAUCACAGCAGGGGGAUAUUAUUUUCAAUUCACACAGACAAUGGUCUUCCAGUGAGGAAGUCAACAAUCUAGUUGCAGAGGCCCAGGUUUUGGAGCUUUCUGAUCAGAACUGUGUGAAUGAUCUUGUCAAACGCUGUGCUGCCUAACAUAAGUAUCAAUAUUGUCCAGGUGAUCCAAGGCUGUAUGAAGAGCCAAUGAGAUCGCAUCCACUGUAGACCCAUUGUGGCGUUAAGACAAAUUGCAGUGGGUCUAGGUCUUUGCUUCGGCGGGAGUUGAUUCUAACCAUAACCGACCACUCAAAGCACUUCAUCAGCGUAGAUGUGAGUGCUACUGGUCAACAGUCAUUAAGGAAGCUCACCCUGCUCUUCUCGGGACUGGUAUAAUUAUUGCAACUUUGAAGCAGGUAGAACUUCCAAAUGUAGCAAUUAAAGAUUUCUAUGCACUUUUUAAAACUGAUAAAAAUAUUUGAAGACUUGAAUGCUUCAUUCAAUAAUCAACUCAACAAUAUUGGGCAUCAGAUUGUUUAUUUGUCAGAAUUAUUGGCAAAGUUUAAUGAAAUCAACCUUCGAUUACAAAGAUUGCAAAGAAGAUUAUGAGUCUUAUCAUAGUCAAAUCAGUUGUCUCCAUAUUUCUGCACAAGUUAACCUGCAACAUUACCUGGCACAACCUUUUCUAAUUUCCAAGCAUCUCUGAGUUGGACGAGAAAGAAAGAAUACCAGAUGAUGGUUCUCAAGUAUGCUGUGCCCACCUGGGUGAGCUGCAUAAAAACUUGUCAGAUAGACAUUUCAGGAUCUUCGCUUGAUCCAAGUACCAGACUGGGUAAUAAAUCUAUUCCUGAACACUUGCAGUGAGGAACUAACAGGAAGCAUGGAGGAAGAAAAAAAUGACUGAGCUGAAGCUCAAAGUAUCAUAACAAGACCUUUGGUUGCCGAAAGAGAUCUCUGAGCACUAUCCUGCACUGUGGAAAGAGGUCAAGAUAUUCUUUAUUGCCUUUCCAACGUCAUAUUUAGUGGAGCGUGGCUUCAGUGCCGUCGCCCAACUUCGUUCAAAGCUGUGAAACAGACUGUAAAUAACUGAACUUGUGGAUCUGAGAUUCCUUCUGAGUGACAUUCAGCCUGAUCUCGAAAGCAGAUAUCACUGUACCAAGCCCAUCCAUAUUUUCAUCUUAUUUUCUUUCACUGUGCAUCACAAGUCAAAAUUCUUUAUAGUUUUUAUGUAACAGUUGGAAAGGGAGGGGGCACUUGAGAUGUGGUCUGGGAGCCAAAGGGGCUGAUAACCCAAAAAAGUUUGGGAACCACUGAUAUAAACAUCAAAUAAAAAUAUGACAUAUUUAAUUGAACAAUUAUAAACUCAAAGUUCAAAAGACUUUGAACAUAAAAUCAAAUAUUAGAACACAACAAUUGGAAAGAGGUACUAAACAUUUUUGACAACACAGUUAAUUGAGAAACAAUGAAAUAGAUUUGGACAGAUAUUUAUGUGAUAUUUACAUUUUUAAUCACUAAAAGGAAAGUAGCUAUGGAUAACUAGACAUCAGGACAUUCAACCUGGAUAAUCUAAUCAUCCCAACCCUUUACUCUAACCCUGUUAAAACUUAUCUAAAUGUUCAGAAAAAAUGACAUUAUUCAGCAUAGGAAAAAUAGAUAAUUUCUACCUAGUACUUCACAAGGAAGGUUUGUUACCAGGAGAGGUUGCUCAAUAGAGAGUUUGAGGGGUAUCUUUCUUAAUCUAAUUAGAUUUUAAGAGUGUAUUUUCUUAGAAAGCUGAUUCCCAAAGCCAUGUCAACAGCCAUAGAAGGAUAAUUUUGAACCAACACUGGAUAAAAUAAUACAGUAUCUGAUUUGGAAAUAUAGUCAAUUCCAGCUAAUCAAUCCAUCAGAUAAUCAGGGCAGCCACUUAUUGGGGACAACUCUUAAAGAACAAAAUCUAAUCAGGAAAAUAGCCAAGAUUCCCUUAAAUUAUUUAAGGAUUGGAGGGCGCCCAUUCAGAAUAGAGAUGCGAAGAAAUUUUUUUAGCCAGAGGGUGGUGAAUCUGUGGAAUUUGUUGCCACGGGCAGCAGUGGAGGUCAAGUCUUUGGGUGCAUUUAAGGCAGAGAUUGAUAGGUAUCAGAGUAGCCAAGGCAUCAAAGGUUAUGGUGAGAAGGCAUGGGAGUGGGACAAAAUGGGAAAAUGGAUCAGCUCGUGAUAAAAUGGCGGAGCAGACUCAAUGGGCCGAAUGGCCAGCUUCUGCUCCUUUGUCUUAUGUUCUUAAUUGGGUCAGAUCCGUGCACUUGUGUGGUUAUUAGGCACUGCACUGUACUUACAGCGAACAUUAUUUAAAUAGCAUCAGUUACGUGUGUUUGUGUUCAAAAGGCAGUGACUUUUGACGUUGAUAGUUCGUGAGAAAUAAGCACUACUUUGGUCACUGAAGUUUCAGGUAUUCAGGCUUUGAGAUGCCAGAAAUGGCAAGGAGUGAAAAUUAAAUGAUUUCACUAGGUCAACAAAUUAGGACCUACAAUCUGCUUGAAUGUUACAAUGAAAACGAAGAUUUGAAGGAGGCAAAUGUCAAAAGCAUUGUAUGAAGACAGUCCAUUAUCUGCACCAGGCGUCUGCAUGAUCUUGUUCCUUUAUAGUCAAUCGAAAGAACACAGCAGCAUACUCUGGAUGAAUUCCUCCAUUGAUAACUAUUAGGAACUAAUAUACAGUUUUAUAAUACAGGCAGUCCCCAGAUUACGUACGAGUUCCGUUCCUGAGUCCGUCUUUAAGUCGGAACAAGUACAUCCUGUAUUAUUUAGCGUCAGUCAAACAUUUGUCUUAGUAUAUAUUUCACCUUUCUAUGCAUAUAAAACACUUAAGAAACAUACGUAUUACAAUAAUUAAACCACUGCGUUGCUUGGUAAUAAUUGUAGCUUUCAUUGGGGCAGGGCCUUUCACAUGCUCCAUUAUUCUCACUUUAUCCUUUAAAAUUGUUCCGAGCGUUGACCGACUGUAGCCUAAUGCUUUUCCAAUGACCGAUGGCAUUUCACCGCUUUCCAAACGCUUUAUUAUUUCCACUUUAUUUUCAAUUGCGAUCACUUCCCAUCAAUGGAACAGAAACACUGCGGGCGGUGGGUCCUGACCCCCGCCGGCUGCCGAGGUUCGCUGGAUCCUAAGGACCACCGCACUGAAUUCCCCGGAUCCAAAAGUUCACCACACUGAGGCAGGUUAAGUGUGACAAGUGGGGGCUGUGUUGGGUUUGGGUACUGUACUUGAUCCUCCACAAUAUUCCGCGUGGGAAUUUAAACUGGAGGUGGCAGUGGUUUUUUUUUAAAACGAGGUUGAGUUGUGCGCUAGACAUUAACCGGGCACGGGAGUCACUGGAUUGACAUCAACCUGGCACGGGAGCGGUCUGUCACUGGAUUGAACUCGGGAAACUCCGUUCUCCAGCCCAGCGCUGAUCUCACUGCGCCACCGGCUGACUGGAACGGGGGGAGAGGGUGAAUCUUACUAAGAAAAAUUUAAGCCAAAUACAAAGUUACACACUCAACACAGUGUCAAUGGCAACAACUUAAAAUGGCGUACGGCAUCGCAAUCCGACAAAAUGGCGGACGGUGUUCUCCUUCCUCGGUUUGUAAGUACGAGUUGUCUGUAAGUCGGAUGUUCAUAAUUCGGGGACUACCUGUACUGCCAUAGCAUUGGUAAUGUUCAAAUUUGUUCUGUAUUUCUUUUAAAUAUACAGGUUGUUACCUAGUUUGUCUAUUUUAUACCUUUUUAAGCAUCUCCAUGAAACUUCAGCUAAUUGGGGCAGCUGCUCAACUGGGCUAAAAUGUAUUGGUCCCGACAUGUCCCAAUUAACCAGAAUAUACUGUACUGAGAAAUAGGUAUCCCUACUGGGCAUACUAACCCAAUACAUUUUGAUUGUGCAUAUUUUAAAUAUGAAAAUGUUUGUAACAUUUGUUGGUGAAUUACAAAGAGUCUGAUUUUAAAUGCAUUUUACUUCAAAGGGCGGUAGAUCUUGAAGUAAAAUAUAUGAAUGUCAUACCCUGAAGUAAUUAUGUAACGAGUAUCCAGCAUGCAGGCUUCAUAAGCUACAAAAUCCUUUGGACAUUAUUUCGCACUGGCUACGUUCACUGGAAAUUAAACAUUAUGGCCUUCCAUUUGUAAAAGGCUCUUUAGCAUGUCCAGGUGCUCUAAAGUUUCAAAACAAACUGCAGAUGGAAUUGCAAUAUUAUUGUCACCUCUACCAAGAUGCAGUGGAAAGCUUGUCUUUUAUUUAUUGUUUAUUUAGAGAUACAGCGCAGAACAAGCCCUUCCACCCUAAUGAGCCGCACUGCCCAGCAGCCCACCUAUUUAACCCUAGCCCAAUCACAGAUCAAUUUACAAUGACCAAUUAACCUACUAGCCAUUAAUUUUUUGGAAUGUGGGAAGAAAACACAGCACCCACCCAGAGAAAGUGCAUGUGUUCACAGGAAGGACAUACAAAUUCCUUACAAAUGGUGUCAGAAUGGAACUCAGAAUUCCGAUGACCCGAGCUGUAAUGGCAUUGCACUAAUCACUAUGCUAUACACAUUCAUGUUUGUUCAUAGAGAUGAAAUCAUUACACAGUGCAUUGAGCUAGAACAAGGUAAAACAAUAACAAUGUAGAAUAAAGUGUAACAGCUACAGAGAAAGUGCAAUGAAGGUAGACAAUAAGGUGCAAGAUCAUAACGAGGUAGAUUAAAUUGAGCUCUUCACCUCAUAUUGUACUAGCGAACCACUUAGUAGUUGUCAUUGAGCCUGAAGAUAUACUGGAAGCUGGAGUGACAAACAAUCUACAGGAGGAACACAGCAGGUCAAGCAGCAUCUGUGGUGGAGGAAGACAGUCAGCGUUUCAGGUCGAAACCCUGAUCAGGACAAUGUAUGGAAAGAGAAAAUGGCCAGAGUAAAGAGGAAGGGGGCAGUGGAUGGACAGGGGUCAGUUGGUGAAAUAAAGGAGCAAGGAUGGAUGUUGGGCAUUUUGAAACCAGGUAGAGAAGAGGGUGAGGUGGAAUUUGGAUACAGAGGCAAGUGGAUGAAAAGUGGUGAUACAAGAGAUUGCAGAUGUUGGAAUCUGCAGCAAGAACCAACUGCUGGAGGAGCUCAGUGAGGCUGGCAGUGAGGAAAGAAAGGAACUGACAAAAUUUCAGGUCAACCUCCCCCAUCGUGACUGAUCGGUGGAGGACAGGUAGGCAAACAGAGCUCAGUGGGGAGAGGAGGGGGACUGAAAGUGGAGACAGCUGCUGGAGGGUGAUAAGCAAGAACCAGCACUGUAAUCUUAUAAGGCAGGGGAACCUGAAUGGGGACUCCCUCACUCAGAGGGUGGUGCGGGCGUGGAACGAGCUGCCAGCAGAAGCGAUGGUUGGGGGUUCCACUUCAACCUUUAAGAGAAAUUUGAUUAAGUACAUGGAUGGGAGAGGUCUGGAGGGCCAGAAGCAGCUUGGUGGGACUAGGCAGAAUGACAGUUCAGCACAAACUAGAUGAGCUGAAGGGGCUGUUUCUGUGCUGUAGUGCUCUAUGCCUCUUUAUCAUAUCAAUGGAAACAAUUAGGGAAGAGCUAGGUCGAUAGAACCAGUGGUAGAUAGGCAAUGGUUGGGGGCAUCCAAUUGGGGUAAAAUAUGUGGAUGGAACCAAGAGGAGGAAGGGGAAGAAAAUGGGGAGUCUGGAGGGUUAUCGAAGGGGGAGGAAGGAACAAUAAUGGGGAGACUGAAGGUGGAUGGAAAGGAGAGAGAGAGAGAGGUGGGGACAAAAACACUGGAGCUGAAGGUUACCCGAAAUUGAAAAAUUCAAUGAUCAUUGAGUUGCAGACAAACAUGGAGGGAUAUGAGGUGCUGUUCCACUAGAUUACAUUGGGCCUCAUCCUGGCAAUAAGGCCAAUGACUGACAGAUCAGUAUGGGAAUGAGGAGAAAGGCCAAAAGAGCUUGCAACCAGAAACAUAGGGUAGUGACUGGGGGCAAAGCACAGUUGUUCUGCAAACCUUUUGGCUAAUCUGCACAAAUAGAGUGCAAGCAAAUUGGAGACCAGGGUAGAAAUUAGUAAAGAAGUUGAGAGAAUUGAUGAGUUCUGCACAGAUGCUGAAAACAGCACCAACGUAGUCGAUGUAAUGGAGAAAGUUGCAGAGUGGUACCACAGAAUGAAACACUUCAUUCAAUUGCAGUGGUCAGUUUGACAAUUUAAUAUUAGAAUAUAAAUAAGUUAGCAUCUGUAUAAUCGAAUGCUUUUCUGCCUGAGUGUUGUACUUUUCCACUUACUCAUCUUUUUGAAAAUCUUUUAUUUCCUUUGCACUACAAAAUUGUUCAAGGUAGAAAAUCUCAAUGCAAUUUCUGUUGGAACUCUGCUUAGAUUUUGUAGGAAAGUUGGUAGGUGGAGAAUAUUACUUAAACAUGUCUAAACAUAGCAUGGGCAUCUCUUGAAUUUUUACUUUGCUAACCAAACAUAACGAAUAUUUCCUUCUUAUAAAAAUGUAUGCUUAUAUACAAUAUCUAAUCAACAACUUUCUAUUUUUGUUUUGUUUCUUGUACAUGUCCUCACAAUACCAUUGCAAAUGCAAGAUUAUGUAGAUGAAUGCGCUGGGAGACAUGAAAAAGAGAAAGGCAGCAAUACAAUAUUUUGCUUUGCGAUUUGAUUCUCAACAAGUUUUAAAGCACAGAAUACAAGGACAAUAUCAGCUACAGUUGACAUUCCACAAUACCAAAUACAUUGGUGAUCAUACAAUCAACAGCUUGAAUCAAAAGUGUGUGGUCCUUUAAUUGAAAAUGUAGUACAGAAUCCCAUCUUCAAUAAAUGGGAGUGUAUCCACGAAACUUCGGCUAAUUGGGGAAACCACCUAACUGAACCAAAAGAAAGCACGGCAGUGUCUCUACUUUCUGAGAAGAUUGUAAAGAUUGAGCAUAUCACCUGAAACUUUGACGAACUUCUAUAGAUCCUCCGGUGAGAGUAUACUGACUGGUUGUAUCACAGUCUGGUAUGGAAACACCAAUGCCCUUGAAUGGAAGAGCCUACAAAAAGGUAGUAGGUACAGUCCAGUCCAUCAUGGGUAAAACCCCUCCCCCACCAUCUACAUGGAGCACUGUCACAGGAAAGCUGCAUUCAUCAUCAUGGAUUCCUACCAUCGAGGCCAUGCUCUCUUCUCACUACUGCCUUCAAGGUGGUGGUACGGGACCCUCCAGUUCCACUCCAUCAGGUUCAGGAACAGUUACUACCCCUCAAGCAUCGGGCUCUUAAAGUGAGCCCAUAGGUGAGGAAUGAGUUCAGUGUUGGGGUGGGUGAGGUUGAGCGGAGUUAUCCCCUCUGGUUAAAGAGCCCGAUGCUGUACAAUUCAUGUUCUCAAUAUUUAUUACAUUUUUUUCUUUUUUUAUUUGCACAGCUGAUUGUCUUUUGCACAAUGUUUCCGUGUCCAUCUCUGUCUUGUGUAUAUUCUAUUGAUUCUAUUGUGUUUCUUUGUAUUUAUUGUGAAUGCCUGCAAGAAAAUGAAUCUCAGGGUAGUUUAUGGUAACCUAUAUGCACUGUGAUAAUAAACUUACUUUGAACUUUGAAGCCUCAUCACACAUUCCAGCGACAACAUAGUAUGCCUGCAAAGCUCAACGUAACGACACCACCCCCCCCCCCCCCACCCCCAGGACAGAAUAAGACAUUAACUUAAAGCUAUAUUUACCCUAGUGGUAUUCCCACAGUACUUUUCAAAGAACAGUAAGACAGUUAUCUCCUUGUCCUGUCCAAUUUGUAUCCCCAAUCAAGAUCAUCUACUCUUUAUCUUACUGCUGUUUUGUGACUUUGCUGCCACAUUUCCUACAAAAUAACGCUGACCUUUAAGAUGACUUCACUAAUAAUCAAAGGCUUUAGGAAUGAUCUUAGAUUGGAAUAAAUGCAGAAAUAACACACAUAUACUUUUGCAUUCUCUAUUCUUCCUCUUGCGGGCGGCCAAGGAGCGUAGUGGUUAGCAGAACACUUUUACCGUGCUUCCCACCGCUUCUGGCAAGUCUGUACGUACCCGAUGCAACUGCGGCAAAAUCCUCCAGGUGCUCCGGCUUCCUCCCACAUUCCAAAGACAAACCGUUCGGGCUAGUGAGUUGCAGACAUGCAACGUUGACACCAGAAGCACGACGACACUUGGGCUGCCCAGCACAAUCCUCGCUGAUUUGAUUUGACGCAAAGCGACACAUUUCACUGUAUGUUUCGAUGUAUUUGUGACAAAUAAAGCUGAUCUUAGAUUUUAUUUUGAAUGUACUUUACACAACACAGCACACACAAAGGCUUCAUUCUCCUGUUCUUUUGAUCAUUCUGCUAAUGUGGUCAGAGGACUGGCAUCAGUACUAGAUAUUGGUCCAGAUGAAAGAGCAAUCGCCUUAAAUAUUUUUUUUUAAUUUCAUUCCUGUUAAUUUUAAUCCAAGAAAUCAGUUGCUCUACUCAAUCUACACUGAUCCUUCUAAAAUUUUAAUAGUAAGUGUAUCCCUAUGCGGAAGCAUCCAUAGAAGCUAGGUGUCUAAUAAAAUAGAUCAUAUGAUAUCUGACAUAGGAGUAAAUUAGGCCAUCCAGCUUAUCGAGUCUGUUCUAACAUUCCAUCAUGGAUGAUUUAUUGUGCCUAUCAACCGCACUCCUCCUGCCUUCUCCCUGUAACUUUUGAAGCACUAUUAAUCAACAGAGUACUGAUUGUGUAUGAUCAGCCAUGAUCACAAUGAAUGGCGGUGCUGGCUAGAAGGGCCGAAUGGCCUACUCCUGCACCUACUGUCUGUUGUCUAUUGUCACUGCAGUCUGUGGCAGAGCAUUCCACAGAUUCACCACUCUUUGGCUAAAAAAAAUUACUCCUCACUUCUGUUCUGAAAGGACGCCCCUCAAUUUUGAGGUUGUGCUUUCCAGUUCUCAAUACCCCUACCAGAGGAAGCAUCCUCUUCACAUCCACCCCAUCUAGUCCUUUCAACAUUCGGUAGGUUUCAAUGAGAUCCCCACGCAAUCUUCUAAAUUCCAGUGAGUACAGGCCCAAAGCUGCCAACCCCACCCCCCCAUGUUAACCCCUUCAUUCCCAGAAUCAUCCUUGUGAGCCUCCUCUGGAUUCUCUUCAAUGACAACACAUCCUUUCUGAGAAAAGGAGCCCAAAACUGUUGACAAUGUUCCAAGUGCUGUUUGACUAAUGUCUUAUAAAACUUCAGGAUUAUCUCGCAAACACGAGAAAAUCUGCAGAUGCUGGAAAUUCAAGCAACACACACAAAAUGCCGGUGGAACACAGCAGGCCAGGCAGCAUCUAAAGGGAGAAGCACUGCCGACGUUUCGGGCCGAGACCCUUCGUCAGGACAGCAUCAUCUCCUUGUUUUUAUAUUUUAUGAAAUGAAUGCCAACAUUGUAUUUGCCUUCUUCACCACAAACUCAACCUGUAAAUUAAUCUUCUGGGAGUCUUGCACAGGGACUCCCAAGUCCCUCUGCACUUCUGGUGUUUAAACUUUCUCCCCACUUAGAUAAUAGCCCAUGCUAUUGUUCCUUUUACCAAAAUGCACUGUCAUACAUUUCCCAGCCCUGCAUUCCAUCUGUCACUUCUUUUUGCCCAUUUUCCAAUCUGUCUAAGCCUUGCUGCAAUCGCGUUGCUUCCUCAGCACCACCUACCCACCACAAAGCCAUCAAUUCUAUUAUCUAAAUCAUUGGCAAACAAUGUGAAAAGUAGCAGUCCCAAUACUGACCCCCCACUAAUCACUGAGAGCCAACAAAAAAGGGCCCCCUUUAUUCCCGCUCGCUGCCUCCAGCCUGCCAGCCAUUCCUCUCUAAUUGAGCGAUGUGGGCUCAUUGGGUCAGACCAGCCUGUUACUGUGCUGUAUCUCUAAAUAAAAUAAAGAAAUCCAUAUUGUCUUGCAAUGAAACUCAUCUACCACUCAAGCCAUGUAUCUGGUUAUUUUAAGCAUUGAUAAUUCUUAUUAACUGAAAUCAUCUUAAACUACUUACCAAAAUAAUUCUUCUAAAACAGCAGUGGUAGAAGGUAAAAAAACAACACUUUCAGGAAGAUUUUCCAGAAUACAUGUCAAUCACAACUUUGAGGGCAACAGCUUUGGAUUUCUGCUAAUGUUUUCCUUCGGCUAAUCAAAACAAGGUCAUUAAAUACACAGGCAUAAACUUAUGUCAAGUGCUAGUGAAAAAAUUACCUUUAAACUAACAAGAUCAAAAGCAUUUGGGAUCAUUUUAUCACCAUGCAGUUUUCCUCAAGGGAACUGAAAGAUGUGCUAUGCAUAGAGAAAUAAUGGCACAUCAUUUUUCAGUGAUAUCCCAACACUUAACCAGUUGGUCAAGUUGAUAGGGGCUGGGAUGCUCCCCAUCCCCAUUCUAACAACUUUCUGCAGGAGUACUAUUGACAGUAUCCUGUCUAUCUGCAUCAUUAUGUGCUACAGAAGCUGCAAGGCACUGGACUGCAAGAACCUAGAGGAUCACCCUCCCCCUAUUCAUGGCAUUUACUGGGUGCAUUGUACACAAAGGGCCUAAAGCAUUAUUGAGGUUUCCUACCACCCACCCCACAAUCUCUUUGAUCUACUACCACCAGGAAUGAGGUACAGGAGCAUCAGGACUGGGAAGCCGAUUAAUAGCUUCUUCCUUCUGGCUCUCACCACCAGGGCAGCAAAUUGUUUACCAUACUGUGCAUCUGCUGCACACUACAUGCAUUUUAAAUUAUAUUUUGUUAACUUAUUUGUGGUAAGAUUUUAUUUUAUGUGGUGUGUGUGAUAUGUUUUGUGGGUACAUCAUGACCUAGGGGAACACUGGUUCAUUUGGUUGUAUACAUGUAUAGUCAGAUGACAAACUUGAACUUCAAAAAGGAUAUGAAUCUCAGUAAAUCUAAUUCUGGUUGACCCAUCUUUCUAAAGCUUUCUACUCGAUCUAUUUCUAGUCUUGGUUACAGAAGACUAGUAGCAACUGUAACACAAAAUCAAGAAAUAUGAAGUAAGUAUAGAAAACACUACAAGUAUUCAAUAAGUUAGGCAGCAUCAUGGAGAGGUUAGAGAGCUGAGCUCUCAAGUUAAUGGCCAUUCUUCAGGACUAGUUUUAAGAAGUAAAGAAAAGGAGGAAGGAACCUCAUUGUUGCUUCACAGUGCAGUUCUUCUGUAGUCAGGGCAAAUGUCAAAGCAAAGAAAAUACCCAAUUAUGCUGCAUUUGGGAAAUUUCUACAACAUCUUAACAAAAACCCUCCUAAUGUAUCCUUUUACUUUUACAGAUCAUUUCUAAUUAAGAUUAGCUGCAAAAAUCUGCCUUUUUGCUGCUAACAGGGUAGAAAGGAAAAUCUAUUUUGCCUUAUUGUUUAAAGGAAAAAUGGGCAAUUAUCACAAACUAACAUGUUUUUAAAUAUAUCUUUUUACCCUCAUUUACAAAUGUCCAUCUAUUUUGUUCGACUUCAAACACAAGUUGCAAAUUGGGAAUUGAAUUCACUUACACAGCAUUAAGGAAUAGGUAAGAAAAUAGAGAACAAGGUACAAGGGCAAAACAGAUGCAUUUCAAUACAAGACAAAAGUAAUUUAUUAUUUAUUUUCAUUUUGAGAAACAGCACGGAUAAGGUGCUUUUGGUCCAAUGAGCCACACCACCCAGCAGCCCAUCCAAGGACUAACACUAGCCUAAUCCCAGGACAAUUUACAUUGUCCAACUAACCUACUGAACAGUACAUCUUUCGACUGUGGGCGGGGGGGGGGGG
Long non-coding RNA from Hypanus sabinus (Atlantic stingray), 13176 nucleotides. RefSeq lists it as uncharacterized. The transcript is spliced from 4 exons. NCBI's taxonomy places the organism in Eukaryota, Metazoa, Chordata, Chondrichthyes, Myliobatiformes, Dasyatidae. The record is from RefSeq and is a predicted model, not a curated record.